This 628-nucleotide ribosomal RNA is filed under the name uncultured bacterium. RNAcentral describes it as "bacterial SSU rRNA". It matches the Rfam family "Bacterial small subunit ribosomal RNA", at positions 338 to 956 of the family's 1533-position model. The record is from RNAcentral.
CCUACGGGAGGCAGCAGUGGGGAAUAUUGCGCAAUGGGGGAAACCCUGACGCAGCAACGCCGCGUGAGUGAGGAAGGACUUCGGUCUGUAAAGCUCUGUUAAUGAGGAAAAAUGGUAGUUGGUCUAAUAGGCCGAUUAUUUGAUGGUACUCAUAGAGGAAGCACCGGCUAACUUCGUGCCAGCAGCCGCGGUAAUACGAAGGGUGCAAGCGUUGUUCGGAUUUAUUGGGCGUAAAGCGCGCGUAGGCGGACCCGCAAGUCAGAUGUGAAAUCUCGAGGCUCAACCUCGAAACUGCGUCUGAAACUACAGGUCUAGAAUCUCGGAGGGGGAAGGGGAAUUUCGCAUGUAGGGGUAAAAUCCGUAGAUAUGCGAAGGAACACCAGAGGCGAAGGCGCCUUCCUGGACGAGUAUUGACGCUGAGGCGCGAAAGCGUGGGGAUCAAACAGGAUUAGAUACCCUGGUAGUCCACGCUGUAAACGAUGAACACUAGGUAUUGGAGGAUUUGACCCCCUUUCUAGUGCGUAGCUACGACGUUAGUAGUUCCGUCCGUCGGAGUACGGUCGCGAGACGUAAACGUAACGAAGUAGUAGACGUGAGAGAGCGACGACGACGACGACGGAGGAGGAGG